AGAGUUUGAUCCUGGCUCAGAAUCAACGCUGGCGGCGUGCCUAACACAUGCAAGUCGAACGCGAAAGUCCCGCAAGGGAUUAGUAGAGUGGCAAACGGGUGAGUAACACGUGGGUGACCUGCCUUCGAGCGGGGGAUAACGUUCCGAAAGGAACGCUAAUACCGCAUAACAUCCUGGUCUUUUAAGAGAUGGUGAUCAAAGCCGGGGAUUCGCAAGAACCUGGCACUUGAAGAGGGGCCCGCGCCUGAUUAGCUAGUUGGUGGGGUAAUGGCCUACCAAGGCAACGAUCAGUAUCCGGCCUGAGAGGGCGGACGGACACACUGGGACUGAGACACGGCCCAGNACUCCUACGGGAGGCAGCAGUGGGGAAUUGUUCGCAAUGGGCGCAAGCCUGACGACGCAACGCCGCGUGGAGGAUGAAGACCUUCGGGUCGUAAACUCCUUUCGAUCGAGACGAAUGUUUUUCGGGUGAACAAUCCGGAAAAGUGACGGUACCGAGAGAAGAAGCCCCGGCUAACUCUGUGCCAGCAGCCGCGGUUAAUACAGGGGGGGCAAGCGUUGUUCGGAAUUACUGGGCGUAAAGGGCUCGUAGGUGGCCAACUAAGUCAGACGUGAAAUCCCUCAGCUUAACUGGGGAACUGCGUCUGAUACUGGAUGGCUUGAGUUUGGGAGAGGGAUGCGGANUUCCAGGUGUAGCGGUGAAAUGCGUANAUAUCUG
RNAcentral lists this ribosomal RNA (718 nucleotides) under uncultured bacterium. Its description in RNAcentral is "bacterial SSU rRNA". It matches the Rfam family "Bacterial small subunit ribosomal RNA", at positions 8 to 700 of the family's 1533-position model. The record is from RNAcentral.